This 958-nucleotide ribosomal RNA is filed under the name uncultured bacterium. RNAcentral's name for it is "bacterial SSU rRNA". It matches the Rfam family "Bacterial small subunit ribosomal RNA", at positions 8 to 961 of the family's 1533-position model. The record is from RNAcentral.
AGAGUUUGAUCAUGGCUCAGAUUGAACGCUGGCGGCAUGCCUAACACAUGCAAGUCGAACGGCAGCACGGGGGCAACCCUGGUGGCGAGUGGCGGACGGGUGAGGAAUGCAUCGGAAUCUGCCUCGUUGUGGGGGAUAACGUAGGGAAACUUACGCUAAUACCGCAUACGACCUACGGGUGAAAGUGGGGGACCGCAAGGCCUCACGCGAUGAGAGGAGCCGAUGCCGGAUUAGCUAGUUGGCGGGGUAAAGGCCCACCAAGGCGACGAUCCGUAGCUGGUCUGAGAGGAUGAUCAGCCACACUGGAACUGAGACACGGUCCAGACUCCUGCGGGAGGCAGCAGUGGGGAAUAUUGGACAAUGGGCGCAAGCCUGAUCCAGCAAUGCCGCGUGGGUGAAGAAGGCCUUCGGGUUGUAAAGCCCUUUUGUACGGGAAGAAAACCUGUCCGUUAAUACCGGGCGGGAAUGACGGUACCGUAAGAAUAAGCACCGGCUAACUUCGUGCCAGCAGCCGCGGUAAUACGAAGGGUGCAAGCGUUAAUCGGAAUUACUGGGCGUAAAGCGUGCGUAGGCGGUUUCUUAAGUCCGUUGUGAAAGCCCUGGGCUCAACCUGGGAAUUGCAGUGGAUACUGGGAGGCUAGAGUCAGGUAGAGGGUGGUGGAAUUCCCGGUGUAGCGGUGAAAUGCGUAGAGAUCGGGAGGAACAUCCGUGGCGAAGGCGGCCACCUGGACCAUGACUGACGCUGAGGCACGAAAGCGUGGGGAGCAAACAGGAUUAGAUACCCUGGUAGUCCACGCCCUAAACGAUGCGAACUGGAUGUUGGGCUCAACUCGGAGCUCAGUGUCGAAGCUAACGCGUUAAGUUCGCCGCCUGGGGAGUACGGUCGCAGACUGAAACUCAAAGGAAUUGACGGGGGCCCGCACAAGCGGUGGAGUAUGUGGUUUAAUUCGAUGCAACG